CUUUCAACAAUGGAUCUCUUGGUUCUCGCAUCGAUGAAGAACGCAGCGAAAUGCGAUAAGUAAUGUGAAUUGCAGAAUUCCGUGAAUCAUCAAAUUUUUGAACGCAAAUUGCACUCCUUGGUAUUCCGAGGAGUACACCUGCUUGAGGG
Molecule: ribosomal RNA, 149 nt
Filed under: Cetraspora pellucida
Lineage: Eukaryota; Fungi; Glomeromycota; Glomeromycetes; Diversisporales; Gigasporaceae
Description: 5.8S ribosomal RNA
Rfam family: 5.8S ribosomal RNA
About the family: 5.8S ribosomal RNA (5.8S rRNA) is a component of the large subunit of the eukaryotic ribosome.
Source: RNAcentral